Paramisgurnus dabryanus is the source of this 153-nucleotide non-coding RNA. The record is from RefSeq and is a predicted model, not a curated record. Lineage: Eukaryota; Metazoa; Chordata; Actinopteri; Cypriniformes; Cobitidae.
AUGGAGGACAGAAAAUCCUUGAAUUUGCUCUGCGGUAACAUUUAAUCUCAGGUGCAGGAGUUGCAGGUUUGUCACAAUGAGGAUUUUAAUCUCAUUGUCUGUGUGUCUGCUGUUGUUGAUUUGUGGUGGAAUUAUCAAUGGAGAAACAUCAGG